UACGGAGGGUGCGAGCGUUGUCCGGAAUCAUUGGGCGUAAAGGGUGCGUAGGCGGUCUUGUGCGUCGGUGCUGAAAGCGCCCGGCUUAACCGGGCGAGGCGUGCCGAUACGAUAAGACUGGAGGGGCAGCGAGGGUGGCGGAACUCCUGGUGUAGUGGUGAAAUGCGUAGAGAUCAGGAAGAACACCCGUGGCGCAAGCGGCCACCUGGCUGCCAACUGACGCUGAGGCACGAGAGCGUGGGGAGCGAACCGG
Molecule: ribosomal RNA, 253 nt
Filed under: uncultured bacterium
Lineage: Bacteria
Description: partial 16S ribosomal RNA
Rfam family: Bacterial small subunit ribosomal RNA
Source: RNAcentral